AAGAGAUGCUCGCGGUCGAUAGCCCGUCGGUAGGGUAAAGCCUACAAGGCGACGAUCAGUAUCUGGUUUGAGAGGACGAUCAGACACACUGGAACUGAGACACGGUCCAGACUCCUACGGGAGGCAGCAGUAGGGAAUUUUCCGCAAUGGGCGAAAGCCUGACGGAGCAAUACCGCGUGAGGGAUGACUGCCUAUGGGUUGUAAACCUCUUUUUUUCAGGGAGGAAUCAAUGACGUGUACCUGAAGAAUAAGCAUCGGCUAACUCCGUGCCAGCAGCCGCGGUAAGACGGAGGAUGCAAGUGUUAUCCGGAAUCACUGGGCGUAAAGCGUCUGUAGGUGGUUAAAUAAGUCAACUGUUAAAUCUUGGAGCUCAACUUCAAAAUCGCAGUCGAAACUAUUAGACUAGAGUAUAGUAGAGGUAAAGGGAAUUCUCCAGUGGAGCGGUGAAAUGCGUAGAGAUUGGAAAGAACACCGAUGGCGAAGGCACUUUACCGGGCUAUUACUGACACUCAGAGACGAAAGCUAGGGUAGCAAAUGGGGAUUAGAUACCCCAGUAGUCCUAGCCGUAAAC
RNAcentral lists this ribosomal RNA (571 nucleotides) under uncultured bacterium. RNAcentral's name for it is "bacterial SSU rRNA". It matches the Rfam family "Bacterial small subunit ribosomal RNA", at positions 222 to 807 of the family's 1533-position model. The record is from RNAcentral.